Molecule: ribosomal RNA, 526 nt
Filed under: uncultured bacterium
Lineage: Bacteria
Description: bacterial SSU rRNA
Rfam family: Bacterial small subunit ribosomal RNA
Source: RNAcentral
AAUAGAUACCCUGGUAGUCCACGCCGUAAACGAUGAGUGCUAAGUGUUAGAGGGUUUCCGCCCUUUAGUGCUGCAGCUAACGCAUUAAGCACUCCGCCUGGGGAGUACGGUCGCAAGACUGAAACUCAAAGGAAUUGACGGGGGCCCGCACAAGCGGUGGAGCAUGUGGUUUAAUUCGAAGCAACGCGAAGAACCUUACCAGGUCUUGACAUCCUCUGACAACUCUAGAGAUAGAGCGUUCCCCUUCGGGGGACAGAGUGACAGGUGGUGCAUGGUUGUCGUCAGCUCGUGUCGUGAGAUGUUGGGUUAAGUCCCGCAACGAGCGCAACCCUUGAUCUUAAUUGCCAGCAUUUAGUUGGGCACUCUAAGGUGACUGCCGGUGACAAACCGGAGGAAGGUGGGGAUGACGUCAAAUCAUCAUGCCCCUUAUGACCUGGGCUACACACGUGCUACAAUGGAUGGUACAAAGGGCUGCAAGACCGCGAGGUCAAGCCAAUCCCAUAAAACCAUUCUCAGUUCGGAUUGU